CUGUUAGCCAGUUUACCUUGUCAUACAUGGAGCAAUUUAAAAUGCUCCUUACCGUAGCACCAACGAGCUGUGUGGUUUUCACAGUAGGUUUUGGUCUGCCCUCUGCUUUCACUCGUAGUCAGUUCACGAUAGCUGUCCAAUGAAGGCGGUGACUGGCCAGAGUGUUGUGUCAAGUGACUGAAGUGCAAAAUUCUACCCUAUCGGUCACUGGUUCACGGGUGGGACUUAUCUGCCAUAAGGAUCAAUUGAAACGGAAAAUAAACACGAGCCGCCUGGGGUUCACUCGAUUUACAUUGAAGUCAAUGGGAAUAGUGGCGCUGUUGUGACUCACAUAAUUGAUUUCAGGAAAACAGCUCGUCUUCGUGAGUAUUUCUGUUUCAAAGCACUGAAAAUGGGAUUGUUGUAAGAUUUUUGGUUUAUUUAUUUUUUAACAUUUUUUUGGUGAAGCACUGCUUCACCUGUAGUCUUAUAGAAGCCUCCACUGCUCCACACUCUAUUUGUGAAACAUGCAGACGGCCUAGUGAGACUGCCAGCAGGCAGCAGCAAAGAGAUGUAGCGACCUCGGUUUAUUUCUUCAGCUUUCACAUACACACAAACACGCACACAGGGUGCUUGGUCUUUUUUUUGUUUUGUCGUUGUCUGUUAAACCGCCAAGUGGAGCGACGUGUCUGGGAAGCUGGCCUCUUGGUCUGAGCCUGUGGAGGCAUCGCUUCUCGGCCUUUUGGCUAAGAUCAAGUGUAGUAUCUGUUCUUAUCAGUUUAAUAUCUGAUACGUCCCCUACCCGGGGACCAUAUAUUAAAUUGAUUUUUGGAACUGGGAGAUGGAAAAGGGGCUUGCUCCGUCCACUCCACGCAUCGACCUGGUAUUGCAGUACCUCCAGGACCGGUGCACCCCUCUCUCACUGUGAAAAACAAAACUAAACUCCUCCUGAGUCCAGAGAGUAGUGGUGCCGAGAUGAUGCCUCAUGAAACGUCAAAGCCUCGCAGCCAGAUGAACCAUCAAAGUGGUUCGACCUCGAAGCUUCAAAUUAGUACGCUAGGGACACCUAGUGGUGAAUUAAAUUAUGAUGAAAGAAAGAGUUUCCUGUGAUGAUGUGAUGUUUGCUUCGUAGCCUACAACAUCACAACGUUUAAGAAUUAAAGUCAUUUCAGUGAUACGUGUGAGUUUGCCGUUCAUAAAUAUCUCCCGAGCUCAUGGUAGAGAACAAAUCAUUUGACCUAGAUUUUAAGUCAUCCCGGGCAAAAUAGAUUGUCUCAGUAGCCUACUAAUAAUUGUAAUAAUAGAACUGCAUGAUGACUGAGAAUGAGUGUGAUUAAUUACAUAGCCAUAAAAGUGAUCUUGGAACUGGGUAGGGUCUUCUUUUUGUAAAAAUGUGCCAAUUGUGAACCCAUAUCGCGCAACAGCCCGAGAUGAAGCCUCGAACGUCACGCGCCACGUCAUUUCGCCUAUGUGAUACGGAGCUUCGCUGGGGGAGGAGCCGAGGUACUCGACACACGCCCCGAUGCCUCGACGCAAACCAUAACAUCACUACCUGAGAGUACACCCGUCCGCCUGUAGACAAUAAAGUGUCAUUUACAAUUCAUAAACGCACUGUUUACAAUUAUUCCAACGAUAUUCUGUUGUUUAAGAAAGAAAAAAGGAUUCUUUCUGUGGCGGGUCGAUAACUCGGAUCUCCAGGUUUCCUUUCGUUAUGCUUCCAUCACGCUGAUUUCAGAUUCGCCUGUCAUCGUGUGACCGGUGGUCUACAGUGUUUAUUAAAGUCUAGACAUCUCCGAAUGCUUUGCAACCGUUCUCCACGGGAACAAGCGUGGGCAUCGUUCAGCCCACCUGAACGUGUACAACUCAUACUUACCUGGCAAGGGAGAUACCACGAUCAAGAAGGUGGUUCACCCAUAGCGAGGCUCAGCCAUUGCACUGAGGCUGUUGCUGACCCGUGCGAAUUCCCCAAAUGUGGGAAUCUCGAUUGCAUAAUUUCUGGUAGUGGGGGACUGCGUUCGCGCUCUCCCCUGAUCAUGUUGUUCUAAAGAAAUAAUAGCUAUGAAUGGCUUCAUCGCGCUGACUAAUGCCGUCCAUCCCACGUUUUGCAACGCUACGUUUAUUCAAAAGAUCACGCAAACGAUCACGCCCAAGCAGUGUAAUGCAUUACAUUCAGAUGUGGAACUCUGAGUCUGGAAUAACGUAGUCAUUCAUUCAUUCAUUCAUUUCUUUCAUUCAUUAUGGAUCAAAUUAUUGUUUCUGUACAAGUCCCGUCUCUGGCCACAGCAGCGCUCCCACUCAUUAUGGGUUCCUCCUGUAUAAAAGUUAGUAUGGACAAGACAAUAAUUGCUUACGGCCAUACCACCCUGAGCACGCGCGAUCUCGUCUGAUCUCGGAGGCUAAGCAGGGUCAACUCGAGCUCAUUGGCUGCAAUAGAGUUCCGGGUGUUGACGUUGUUGGGGCGGGGAAAACGUGGGCACCACCAUUUUGGCAGUAUUCGGCAGACUGGCGCUCUUGUGGUGGAGCAGACAUGGUCGAUAACUGUUGUGCACCAGGUUGCACAAAUAAACGAGGCAAAAAUAAAUGUACGUCGUUCUACCGCAUUCCUAAAGAUGCGGAGAGGCGAGCUAAGUGGAUCAGCGCCAUUAAAAGAGCCAGGAGCAAGCAAAAAAAGACUGAAAAAUGGGACCCCCCGGCUGUUGGAUUCCGCUUGUGCAGCGAUCACUUCAUAUCAGGGCCCGAAAGGACCAAGAGGUGAAAGGGGACCCCAGGGCCCUGACGGGAGGGACGGCAGACCUGGCAACCCCGGCCCUGCUGGGCCCCCAGGACCCCCUGGCCUCGGCAGAAACUUUGCUGCUCAGUAUGAUCACAACAAAGGCGCUGAUAUUGGUCCCGGCCCCAUGGGCCCGAAAGGACCAAGAGGUGAAAGGGGACCCCAGGGCCCUGACGGGAGGGACGGCAGACCUGGCAACCCCGGCCCUGCUGGGCCCCCAGGACCCCCUGGCCUCGGCAGAAACUUUGCUGCUCAGUAUGAUCACAACAAAGGCGCUGAUAUUGGUCCCGGCCCCAUGGGAAUGAUGGGAAUGAAAGGCCAACCUGGACUUCCCGGCCCCCCUGGAGAAGGAGUGAUAAUCCCUUGAGUCCGGACUUUGUUCCAUCUCUUUUCAACUACGUUCCAUCUCCAGAGAAGAGGAAAAGAAAAAUGAGACUGGAGGUUUUCAACAGACGACAGGGAGCAAAGCUACAGAAGAUGGAGCAGACAAAGCUAUCUGCGAAAGCCAUCCCUCCCAGAGCAUCAACAGAUUGUCCCCAAGACUGCAACAAGGAUCCUACUGCAGAGCAAAGUCCCACCACAGAGCCUUUGAAGGAAUCUACCCAUGAAGAACCUGGAAACGAUGUCCAGCCUGUUCUCCAUGAGGAGGAUCCAGCAACCCCACCAUGCACCACUGAAACCUGUGGUAAACGCGUCCAAUCUCUUGAGCAAGAAUGCCAAGCUCUGAGGACUGAAAAUAUGUUGUUGAAGGAAAAAAUGAAUAGGACUACACUGAAUGAGAUGAGCUUGCAUAACGAUGAUAAAAGGGUUCAUACUCUCACUGGUUUAUCAGCAUUCUCCAUUCUCAUGACAAUUUUUCAUAUUGUGGCUCCUUUUCUCCAACUUAAAUCUAGUUUAACAUGUUUUCAGCAGUACAUGUUAACUUUAAUUAAGCUUAGAAUGAACUUGUCCUUUGAGUUUUUGGCUUUUUAUUUUGACAUUGACUCAACCACUGUUUCAAAGCUCUUCAAACACUGCAUUAGUGUGAUGCAUUGUAGACUGGUGCCAAGUCUGGUGUUGUGGCCUGACAGAGAAUACUUAAGAAAAUCUCUUCCAUAUGCAUUUCGAAACCGUAGCUUUGAAAAGACAGUUUGCAUUAUAGAUUGUUUUGAAAUAUUUCUAGAGAAACCCAGUAGAUUGCUAGCCAGUGCUCAGUGUUACUCAUCAUACAAAUCACACCACACAAUGAAAUAUUUAAUUGCAAUUUGCCCUCGAGGUUCCAUUUGUUUCAUUUCCGCUGGAUGGGGAGGUCGCACAAGUGAUACGUUUAUCACAGAACAAAGUCACUUUUUAUCUCAUUUGCUCCCAGGGGACGUAGUUUUAGCGGACAGAGGUUGUCUGGUUAAAGAGUCCAUUGAGAGAUGCCAAGCUGAAUUAAAAAUUCCAGCAUUUACUCGUGGAUAGAAGCAGUUAGAUCCUGCUGACUUGGAGAACACCAGACGUCUAGCCUCUCUUAGGAUACAUAUUGAAAGAGUGAUAGGAGUUCUCCGUCAAAAGUACACAGUCUUGCAAAGCACUGUCCCCAUAUGUUUCACGGACAUAGACAGGGAAAAUGAUGUGGCCUACCUUGACAAGAUGGUGAGCGUGUGUUGUGCACUUACAAAUGUGUCUGAAUCUGUGGUGUCCUUCCAGUGAUGGGGAUUUACAGUAAAUUGAACUGAUGUGACUGGCUACAGAUGUGCUCAACCAGCAAAUAAACCUUUGUGACUCACACUUCUUGCUUGCUUGUCGUGACAUUAUUUUUAAUCACUCGCUAUUCUGAUGCGAUCACAUCGUUUCUCUUUGCAGAUCAAGCUGCACAUCCACCCAUUCUAACUUGAGUUCCACCCAAACAGAUAUUUGUUCUGGUGUGUUUUAUAUGAAUGACCCACCCAUGUUUCAUAUCCCUGAUUGCUACAGAUAUCUAAUACAAAUUAUGGGGAAGAGAACAAUAUUGGUUUAACAACUGUUUAUUCAUAAAUAACAGUACAGUAUCAGCUACUACAAACAACUCAUUUCACAGUCUCCUCACUAAGGUUUUCUUCUUUGGGCAUUGAUCACUUUUCGGCAGAUGGGACAUACCCACUGUUUUGGGACCCUUUUCAUGCGAAGGCAGGUCUGGUGAAACUUUUUAACUGAACAAAAACCUGACGCACAGACCACCAUGUUCCCUGCUUCUGGCUCAGGGCAGUAGCACCACUGUUGUUGACUAUGAUCAGCAAAUGCUGCUGCUGCUGGUGCUGGUUUCUGUGCAGAAAAACACUUUACUGCCUAAUUAACAGAAAGGUCCUUUGCAGAAAAUGGGCACUUAAUUUCUAUGACACCUGAACCACAGCAGCUACAGGAAACGUAUCCAUCAGGUGAGGCCCCAAUGCAGGGGUGAAAUCCUGAAUCCAGCUGUUCCUACCAUGACAUUCGUGUGUGAGAGGCGAUGACGCAUUUCAUAGUAUUUCCUUGCCAAGUCCUCGUGUUGACAUCCCCAACUGAAGAAAACAACAAUAACAUUAGUUUUGGACAAUAGUAAUGCCACCCCACAUUGGUACCGCCCUGCUCUUUCAAAAGGAUACUACCUACUUGGUUUAACACUCCUGCUUUUUAAGAAUAGUACUUCCUGGAUUUACCCUCCCUGUUAUUGUACCUACUUCACAUUCAUUUGAUUGUACACCAUCUGGAAAUGACCAUUUUACACACAGGAGCAGUUACACACUGCAUGCCCUGUUUUACCCUAAUCCUUCUAUGCUCAUGAAUACCUGGUAGCCUCACUGGUGAAACUAUGGGACUUUUGGGUAGCAUAUUUGUCUUAUUAGAGACACUGCAGGCUUUCUGACGUCUGUCUUUGUGGCUGCUCUGAAGGUAGUUAUAUCUAUCCGGAUACUGCAGAUCUGGGACGUCUUCUUCAGCGGAGAUGCUUUUGAAAAGCACCCCGGGGCCAUUGUAUGGGUCGGUAAUAUUUAACCUAUUUAAUUUUUGCCUAUAGAGCUCGAUGUCAUGCGAAUUAAAGUGAGAUGAGUACUCCGAUGGCUUGAAAGCUUCGGCGCCGGGUCAUUUUAAGGAAGCUCUUUAAGGGCGGCGCUUGAUUUUACUGACAAAAUGGCGUUCCGAACACCGGUGGUCACGUGGGUUCAGGAACUCGAUAUCAUGCAAGCACUUUGUUUUCUUUUUAUUUUGUUCUACACCACAAUUGCAUGCUUUAAACAUGACACGGGGCCAACAGUAAAGGCGUUUUUUCAGCCAACUCCCUGUUAGCCAGUUUACCUUGUCAUACAUGGAGCAAUUUAAAAUGCUCCUUACCGUAGCACCAACGAGCUGUGUGGUUUUCACAGUAGGUUUUGGUCUGCCCUCUGCUUUCACUCGUAGUCAGUUCACGAUAGCUGUCCAAUGAAGGCGGUGACUGGCCAGAGUGUUGUGUCAAGUGACUGAAGUGCAAAAUUCUACCCUAUCGGUCACUGGUUCACGGGUGGGACUUAUCUGCCAUAAGGAUCAAUUGAAACGGAAAAUAAACACGAGCCGCCUGGGGUUCACUCGAUUUACAUUGAAGUCAAUGGGAAUAGUGGCGCUGUUGUGACUCACAUAAUUGAUUUCAGGAAAACAGCUCGUCUUCGUGAGUAUUUCUGUUUCAAAGCACUGAAAAUGGGAUUGUUGUAAGAUUUUUGGUUUAUUUAUUUUUUAACAUUUUUUUGGUGAAGCACUGCUUCACCUGUAGUCUUAUAGAAGCCUCCACUGCUCCACACUCUAUUUGUGAAACAUGCAGACGGCCUAGUGAGACUGCCAGCAGGCAGCAGCAAAGAGAUGUAGCGACCUCGGUUUAUUUCUUCAGCUUUCACAUACACACAAACACGCACACAGGGUGCUUGGUCUUUUUUUUGUUUUGUCGUUGUCUGUUAAACCGCCAAGUGGAGCGACGUGUCUGGGAAGCUGGCCUCUUGGUCUGAGCCUGUGGAGGCAUCGCUUCUCGGCCUUUUGGCUAAGAUCAAGUGUAGUAUCUGUUCUUAUCAGUUUAAUAUCUGAUACGUCCCCUACCCGGGGACCAUAUAUUAAAUUGAUUUUUGGAACUGGGAGAUGGAAAAGGGGCUUGCUCCGUCCACUCCACGCAUCGACCUGGUAUUGCAGUACCUCCAGGACCGGUGCACCCCUCUCUCACUGUGAAAAACAAAACUAAACUCCUCCUGAGUCCAGAGAGUAGUGGUGCCGAGAUGAUGCCUCAUGAAACGUCAAAGCCUCGCAGCCAGAUGAACCAUCAAAGUGGUUCGACCUCGAAGCUUCAAAUUAGUACGCUAGGGACACCUAGUGGUGAAUUAAAUUAUGAUGAAAGAAAGAGUUUCCUGUGAUGAUGUGAUGUUUGCUUCGUAGCCUACAACAUCACAACGUUUAAGAAUUAAAGUCAUUUCAGUGAUACGUGUGAGUUUGCCGUUCAUAAAUAUCUCCCGAGCUCAUGGUAGAGAACAAAUCAUUUGACCUAGAUUUUAAGUCAUCCCGGGCAAAAUAGAUUGUCUCAGUAGCCUACUAAUAAUUGUAAUAAUAGAACUGCAUGAUGACUGAGAAUGAGUGUGAUUAAUUACAUAGCCAUAAAAGUGAUCUUGGAACUGGGUAGGGUCUUCUUUUUGUAAAAAUGUGCCAAUUGUGAACCCAUAUCGCGCAACAGCCCGAGAUGAAGCCUCGAACGUCACGCGCCACGUCAUUUCGCCUAUGUGAUACGGAGCUUCGCUGGGGGAGGAGCCGAGGUACUCGACACACGCCCCGAUGCCUCGACGCAAACCAUAACAUCACUACCUGAGAGUACACCCGUCCGCCUGUAGACAAUAAAGUGUCAUUUACAAUUCAUAAACGCACUGUUUACAAUUAUUCCAACGAUAUUCUGUUGUUUAAGAAAGAAAAAAGGAUUCUUUCUGUGGCGGGUCGAUAACUCGGAUCUCCAGGUUUCCUUUCGUUAUGCUUCCAUCACGCUGAUUUCAGAUUCGCCUGUCAUCGUGUGACCGGUGGUCUACAGUGUUUAUUAAAGUCUAGACAUCUCCGAAUGCUUUGCAACCGUUCUCCACGGGAACAAGCGUGGGCAUCGUUCAGCCCACCUGAACGUGUACAACUCAUACUUACCUGGCAAGGGAGAUACCACGAUCAAGAAGGUGGUUCACCCAUAGCGAGGCUCAGCCAUUGCACUGAGGCUGUUGCUGACCCGUGCGAAUUCCCCAAAUGUGGGAAUCUCGAUUGCAUAAUUUCUGGUAGUGGGGGACUGCGUUCGCGCUCUCCCCUGAUCAUGUUGUUCUAAAGAAAUAAUAGCUAUGAAUGGCUUCAUCGCGCUGACUAAUGCCGUCCAUCCCACGUUUUGCAACGCUACGUUUAUUCAAAAGAUCACGCAAACGAUCACGCCCAAGCAGUGUAAUGCAUUACAUUCAGAUGUGGAACUCUGAGUCUGGAAUAACGUAGUCAUUCAUUCAUUCAUUCAUUUCUUUCAUUCAUUAUGGAUCAAAUUAUUGUUUCUGUACAAGUCCCGUCUCUGGCCACAGCAGCGCUCCCACUCAUUAUGGGUUCCUCCUGUAUAAAAGUUAGUAUGGACAAGACAAUAAUUGCUUACGGCCAUACCACCCUGAGCACGCGCGAUCUCGUCUGAUCUCGGAGGCUAAGCAGGGUCAACUCGAGCUCAUUGGCUGCAAUAGAGUUCCGGGUGUUGACGUUGUUGGGGCGGGGAAAACGUGGGCACCACCAUUUUGGCAGUAUUCGGCAGACUGGCGCUCUUGUGGUGGAGCAGACAUGGUCGAUAACUGUUGUGCACCAGGUUGCACAAAUAAACGAGGCAAAAAUAAAUGUACGUCGUUCUACCGCAUUCCUAAAGAUGCGGAGAGGCGAGCUAAGUGGAUCAGCGCCAUUAAAAGAGCCAGGAGCAAGCAAAAAAA
RNA transcript from Gadus chalcogrammus (walleye pollock), 8655 nucleotides. RefSeq lists it as uncharacterized. The record is from RefSeq and is a predicted model, not a curated record. The transcript has 10 exons. Lineage: Eukaryota; Metazoa; Chordata; Actinopteri; Gadiformes; Gadidae.